CUUUUAUAACCCUUUCCAGCUUUAUGCGAGUCAACAAUUCUUAAUCGUAGGUCUUCUGAGAGCUCUUUUGUGUGAGGCAUCAUUCACAUCAGGCAAUGCUUCUUGUGAAAAGCAAACCCAGAACUGGUGUGUGUUUUUUAUAGGGCAGCUGUAACCAACACCUCCAAUCUCUUCUCAUUGAUUGGACUCCAGUUGGCUGACAUGUCACUCCAAUUCGCUCUUGGAGAUGUCAUUAG
This 236-nucleotide long non-coding RNA is filed under the name Pelobates cultripes (western spadefoot toad). Lineage: Eukaryota; Metazoa; Chordata; Amphibia; Anura; Pelobatidae. The record is from RNAcentral.